Molecule: long non-coding RNA, 2377 nt
Organism: Strigops habroptila (Kakapo)
Lineage: Eukaryota; Metazoa; Chordata; Aves; Psittaciformes; Psittacidae
Exons: 2
Source: RefSeq, a predicted model, not a curated record
CCCGCCCGCCGCGGGGGGAGGGCGCCGGGGCCACCGUCCCGGCGGAGGCGCGCGCCUUGGCCGUUGGAAGCCGUUGUGGGAGGUCCCGAGCGGACGAGCGGAGAGCGGGCUCGGCCCUGGCUCUGCCGAGAGCUUUACCGGCGGUCCCCGCCGCCGCGAGCGGGGAGCGGGCCCCGCCGCCGCGUUCCGCCAGCGGCGGUUUGAGCCAUUGCCGGCCGUGCGGCGGGGCCCGGGGCUGGCGGCGGUGGGGUGGCGCUGGGUGGGGCUGCGGGGUGUGCCGGACGGCGGCCCCGGCAGCGGUUCUGCCAUGGCUGACGGCGUCUCUCCCUCGCUCCCCGCCGUCGGGAACCUUUCCUUCCCGAGACCACAACUGAACGGGGGUUUUGUUCUGUUUCAUUAAUGAUUUUGAGGGCCGAGAGGAGCCAUGCUGACCCGUCAGUGUACAGGGCAGUCUCGCUGGACACCUUGCCGAGGCAUGAAGUCUUACCCAUAUACCAGAACAACUGUCGAACGGGUUGUUUCUGAUUUGAAACUUCAUACUGCAAAAACGAUGAUUGGGAAACAGUGAGGAGAAGUCUUACUAGGCAAUGAACAGCUGUGUGGAGACCCCAGCAGAGCUGGUGCAGGCCUGCAUUUUCACGUGGGGUGUGCUGUGCCAUGUGGCCGUGUCCCCUUGGACCUGGAAGUGGCCUAGUGAGGCCAAGUGUGGUUGUGCAGAUAACUGCAUGUGCAGCUAGCUCAGUGUCGGUAUGCCACUGUCUGUAGUGCUUGCAUGUUCUUUUUCUUCGUUUCUCUGUUUCUGCAGCUUAAGCAAAUCUGAGAAAGCCGAGAACAAGAGAUUAAAAUUUAAUAGUGUGUGUUGUCCUGUGUGAGCAGUUUACUGGUUAGUGUGGCUCUUCCGUUUGUUCACUUGAUUUGCAGGUAUCCGUGGAUGCUGGGUUUGGUUUUGUUACAAGCCUGUUGCAUCCAAGUUACAGAGUAAGUUACUAAUAUUCCUGAUGGAUAUUAGUGCAGUUACAAUGAUACUAACACAGUUCAAAUAAAUACAGGCAAAAUUAAUAUAUACAACGUUUCUGAUGUUUCUGCUUUUUUUCUAAUAGCACCUUUCCCCUGAUGUUAUACUAAAUUUUUUUGCUGGGUCUCUGGGUCCUAAGGGCACUGGCUCAGUUUGGUAGUGGGGAGGGGACAAAUUCAAGCAAGUCAUCAGCAUCCCAAAUCCUUUGUUGAGAGGAGUAUGAUGUUGAUUGCUUUGUACUUCUCAGAGUCUGCAUUUAGAAAUGUGUGUAAAAAAUCCACAUCUUAGUUCUCCUUCAUUGUUUUGCACUCCACAUUUUAGCUGAGUUGACUGCCUAUGGUGUGCUUUACAUGUAUUGAAUAGUUUUGUUAUCCUAAAACUGGUUUUAACCAUGUCUCAGAACUGCAUUCCUUUGAUCAGUAUUUGACUAUUGCUGAAUUGUUUAUAACACCAGGGCAUUUCGGCGUCUUCCUCUGCCUGUGUGUUUAAGGGCUCUGCUGUCAUCCCAUGUUCCUGCUCUCAUAAGAUUUGAUCUUUUAUGCUGCUUUUUAAAAUUCUAAGUCAGAGAGAGCUCAUUUCUGUUAGUAACAAAAAUCAAUACGAUAGUGUUACAGCACACAAUUGUACAAAGCUGAGCAAAAAUUAAAACAAAGCAGGUAAUUGCUACCUGGUCAUAACAGUGGUUACAGUUAAACAAAUUAAAAAAACCUUCCAGGCUGGCCAAAACAAGUCCAGGCAAUGUCUGACUAUUCCUGAGAACUAUUUUGUAGGCCUGAUACAAAUCCCGUGGCCUCUUAAAAACAAUGCUUGAUAAGUUACAAUAUGUGUCAGGGAUACUGUAUAGGUGGGCAUUCCUGUGAGCUGAAACAGUCGCUUGUGACAGGAGAAGACUUGAUGUUGGUCCAUGAUGGCUUAAGCUAAUUUAAGUCUGAGAGGCUGUGUUGGAGUUUCCUCCUUUUUGCCCUGCGCAAGGAUUUAGAGGAUUUAGGUGGCCACCCAUCUGUAUAUUUCAGUUACAGAGUAGGUUGCUUAAAUUCCCACUGGUUAUUAGUGCAGUUACAGUGAUCAGGGAGCUGAUCCACUGAAAAAUAACCUGAACUGAAAAAAAAAUAGGCCUGCCUGGACCAGCUCACCGCACAACUGUACAACUUUCAGGGUUAGUACAAGGAAAAGGAUAAAAACAUUUGGGGAAAUGUUACACGUGCAGCAACAGGAUUCAGAUUUGCUUUUGGAGAAUGGCUGUGUGAAUAAGCAAGUAAAGUUAGCUUAUAUUUGGUGUAUGGUAACAACAUGCACAUGUACAGUUACUCUGCAGCAGCUUGCAUACUACUGUAAGUGAAAGUAACUCAAAAAAAAAAAAAA